UACGUAGGGGGCGAGCGUUGUCCGGAUUUAUUGGGCGUAAAGGGCACGCAGGCGGUCUGCUAAGUUCAGGGUGACAAUCACCAGCUUAACUGGUGAAGGUCCUUGAAAACUGGUGGACUUGAGAGCGAGAGAGGGACACGGAACUCCGGGUGGAGCAGUGAAAUGCGUAGAGAUCCGGAAGAACACCAAAGGCGAAGGCAGUGUCCUGGCUCGUUUCUGACGCUCAGGUGCGAAAGCGAGGGGAGCGAACGGG
Molecule: ribosomal RNA, 253 nt
Filed under: uncultured bacterium
Lineage: Bacteria
Description: partial 16S ribosomal RNA
Rfam family: Bacterial small subunit ribosomal RNA
Source: RNAcentral